GAUGAACGCUGGCGGCGUGCCUAAUACAUGCAAGUCGAGCGAACGGACGAGAAGCUUGCUUCUCUGAUGUUAGCGGCGGACGGGUGAGUAACACGUGGAGAACCUACCUAUAAGACUGGGAUAACUUCGGGAAACCGGAGCUAAUACCGGAUAAUAUUUUGAACCGCAUGGUUCAAAAGUGAAAGACGGUCUUGCUGUCACUUAUAGAUGGAUCCGCGCUGCAUUAGCUAGUUGGUAAGGUAACGGCUUACCAAGGCAACGAUGCAUAGCCGACCUGAGAGGGUGAUCGGCCAGACUGGAACUGAGACACGGCCCAGACUCCGACGGGAGGCAGCAGUAGGGAAUCUUCCGCAAUGGGCGAAAGCCUGACGGAGCAACGCCGCGUGAGUGAUGAAGGUCUUCGGAUCGUAAAACUCUGUUAUUAGGGAAGAACAUAUGUGUAAGUAACUGUGCACAUCUUGACGGUACCUAAUCAGAAAGCCACGGCUAACUACGUG
This 497-nucleotide ribosomal RNA is filed under the name uncultured bacterium. RNAcentral's name for it is "partial 16S ribosomal RNA". It matches the Rfam family "Bacterial small subunit ribosomal RNA", at positions 28 to 507 of the family's 1533-position model. The record is from RNAcentral.